UACGUAGGGGGCAAGCGUUGUCCGGAAUCAUUGGGCGUAAAGCGCGUGUAGGCGGCUUGGUAAGUCCGCUCUGAAAGCCCGGGGCUCAACCCCUGGAGGCGGGUGGAUACUGUCAAGCUCGAGUCCGGAAGAGGCGAGUGGAAUUCCUGGUGUAGCGGUGAAAUGCGCAGAUAUCAGGAGGAACACCAAUGGCGAAGGCAGCUCGCUGGGACGUGACUGACGCUGAGACGCGAAAGCGUGGGGAGCAAACAGG
This 253-nucleotide ribosomal RNA is filed under the name uncultured bacterium. Its description in RNAcentral is "partial 16S ribosomal RNA". It matches the Rfam family "Bacterial small subunit ribosomal RNA", at positions 524 to 776 of the family's 1533-position model. The record is from RNAcentral.